UAUAAUCUAUGUAUGUAUUAAUUUCAGGGAUCAAUGAUGGCACCCCAUAUCAAUCCAACAGCAACCGAAUACGGAAUCGUGUUGAGGGGAAGUGGUACAAUCCAAAUUGUCUAUCCAAACGGAACCUUAGCCAUGAACUCAAAAGUAAGUGAAGGUGAUGUAUUCUGGGUACCAAGGUACUUCCCAUUCUGCCAAAUCUCAUCAAGAACAGGCCCAUUCGAGUUCUUUGGAUUCACCACAUCAUCACGAAAGAACAGGCCCCAGUUCCUAGUCGGCCGGAACUCCCUUCUUCAGACCAUGAGGGGGCCUGAACUUGCAGCUGCAUUUGGUGUAUCUGAAGACAGGCUCAGGAAAUUCAUUGAUGCUCAACAUGAAACCACAAUCUUGCCAACAGCUUCAGUGGCUCCACCUGAUCAUGAUCAUCAGGCCAAGGUAGAGACGGGGGGAAAGAUGAUGCCCAAGAUGAUCAAGAACUUGGGUAAUGAAAUGAUUAUGGGCUUUGAUUAGAUGGCCUAGCAUGUAAAAUAGAAGAAGUUUGGAAGUGGUUUGUUCCGUUCUUCAGGUUUUUUAUGAUUCUGUUUUUAUUUUCUUGUUCCUUUUGAGAUGUGAAUAAAAAUAAUUUUAGUUUUUCGUGUCAAUUCUCGUUAUGUACUCCCUAAGUCCCGAUAUUUUUUUUUAAUUAUUUAUCGUUUUAUAUAAUCUUAACUAUAAUUUUUUUAAAAUUAUUCUUUUCUUUAUAAAAAAAAAAGAGAUAAGGAUGAUGGUUAUGAAAAUUUAAGGUAUUAUAAUUAAUUAAUAUUAUAUUUAUUAUUAUAUAAUUACUUUUUAAAUUAUUAUGCAUAACUCUAAACGAGAAGUUGAUUGAAGAAUUACCAGAAAACGCAAUAAUUUAGAAAUAAAGCAAUCCUUUUUAUUCAAAUUAUCCAAAAUAAAUAGAUUCUCACAUAUAUUAACAACUUUUUUGAUGACCGGCCAAGUUUAUAAAUUAGUAAAUGGGUAAAAAUAAUACUCCUACAAGACACUUUUUAGUCGAGUAUGAUUACAGUGCAUAAUAAGAACAUACAUAAGCGGGUGUAUCAAUUUGGAUCCGGUUAGCAUGAAGUUAUUUUUUUGAUAAAUUGGUCAAUUGAUUAAUAGAAUAUUGACACACAUAUAACCUCGUCUGCGUGUCAGUAUUUUAUUGGUCAAUUGACCAAUUUAUCUCAAAAUAAAUUUCAUACUAACCACUUCCGUAUCAAUUUUCAUGCAAUUUUAUGAAGAGAAACUCGUUGAUCUAUUUAGUAAAAAAAUUAUAUUCAAUAAAAUUUUAAUGACAUAGACCUGUUCUUGAUCCAAUAUAAAGACAGGCAGAGACAGAACUAGGGGGGGCGGGGGGCAGCCGGACGCCGAUAGACAGGCGGUCGUCGGUCAGACGGUAGGUGGAACUAGGAGGGGGGCAGUAGGCCAGCAGCCAGCUCGGCGCAACUCGCGAGGAGCUCCGGUCUUCACCUUUCUCUUCUCCGACAGCGAUUCAUGUCAUAUUACACGGUAGCCUCUAUUCACAAUUAACAGAUAUGCCGCUACUGGCUUAGGUUUAUUUGCAUUUACAGAGGUUUGGAUCGAGUUUUACUUAUAUACCAUUCUUAGUUUCCCCUUUUCUUCAAACUUGGUCUGAAAUUUUUAUAAUUGAGGGCUUCACUAAAUCAUUGCAGAGGUCAAUCAAUAGUUGCACUUAUAUCACUACUUUAAGUAUUCGGUACAGCUGCACUUGUUCAAUUUAUCAGCAAGAAACUCUGUUUGCAGAGGUCAGUCAAUAGUUUGUUUCUUGGUAUAACUGUAAUUUUCUCCUUCCUAAAGUGCUCCGGGAUUCGGUGUUGUGUGCCUUCAAAGGAUAAGUUCAAUUCCUUUUCCCUGCUUGCCGUGUAGCAUUUUGGUAGAUUUCUAAACUCCAUAGAAUGCUCAUUUUUAUGUAAAUCACCGGCAUAUCUGUUGAUUGUGAAUAGAGGCUACCGUGAAGUAUAAUUCCAAUGGAUGGCUUUUGUAUAAUCAAUUGCAUUAUGUGCUUGUUAUCUUUGGANNNNNNNNNNNNNNNNNNNNNNNNNNNNNNNNNNNNNNNNNNNNNNNNNNNNNNNNNNNNNNNNNNNNNNNNNNNNNNNNNNNNNNNNNNNNNNNNNNNNCUUGGUCACCUUAAUUUUUGUCAAAAACAUUUCCUGUGUCCCAAAACUAAGUAAUCGUAGUUACUAUAUAUGCAAGUAAUUUGUGGUACAUGAUCUAUUGUUGUUGCAGGGGAAGCAAGAAUCGGAUCAAUUCGUAAAGAUGAACUAGUGGAGGAGGAGCUGAAGACGGGAGAUCUGUAUAGAAUUGAUGCCGGCUCUGCAUUUUACUUGGAAAAUAAAGGGGAAGGUCAGAGACUUCAAAUCAUUUGCAGCAUUGACACCUCUGAGAGCUUAAAUUGGCAUGAUUUCCAGGUACUAUAUUUAAGUUAUUAAAAAAGAGAUGCCUCAUUAGGUAGUUCUGAUUGAGCUUUAGAUUAAGGUGACUGCAUUUUCAUUGAUACAUAAAUAUAACAAUCUAAUUGGUAAUUAUUUAAGUUAAAAACAUAAAAUUAUGUUUACCAUACUUCACCAAACAUGAAGUAUGUAUGCAUGCAUGCAAUGCAAUCUUGUUGUUUAUGUUUAUCAUGUUUGGUGAAGUAUGUAUGCAUGCAAUCUUGUUGUUUUAUUCCACAUGUGGACAAAACUUGUGGUUUCAAAUUUGAGAAUCUCUUUUAGAACUUAUGAUACCACUUUGAAAAUAAAAAGAUAAAAAAGAAGAAAAUUAGAAGAAGAAGAAGAAGAUUAUAGGGUAUGCUUGGAAUUUUGGAAAGACUUGUCUUGCGACUAACAGAUAAACACAUAAAUCAAUAAUGAGUAAACACAAAAAUCAAUAAUCCAUGUAUUUGUAUUAAUUUACAAGAUUAUAUUAGGACUCUUUAGAACUUUAUGCAUUAAAAAGAACAGCAUUUGAUCAUGUCUCCUUUAUUUAACAAUUUGUGCACCAUCUGAUGUCUAUGCAGUCUUUCUUCAUUGGAGGAGGAAGGUAUCCAAAAUCUAUUCUCUCUGGAUUCGAUAACCAAACACUCUCAACUGCAUUUAAUGUAAGAAACUUUCUAGGCAUCUCAUUUCUUUAUGUGUGUGUGCCAUACUUUUGACAAAUGUUAUGUAAAUUGUGUGUAUGAUCUCACAGGUAUCAACAUCAGAACUAAGUGAGAUUAUGACUAGUCAACAAUCCGGCUCAAUUGUAUUCCUAUCCCCAGAUUCUUACCCGCCAAGCAUAUGGAUUCGGUUCUUGGCACUAGAGCAACAUGAGAAAAAAGCCCACUUGAAGAGACUUGUGCAAUUCGAAGAACAAGAAGAAGAAGAAGAGAAACCAAAAUGGUCACUAAGGAAGCUCUUGAUAUCUGUGUUUGGAAAUGAAAAUAGGAAAACAGAAAACAAGAGAAGUACCAAAUCAGAUGGUACCUAUAAUCUCUUUGAUAGGAAGCCGGACUUCAAGAACGACUAUGGAUGGAGCAUGGAAGUUGACGAGUCUGCUUAUUCUCCUCUUAGUCGCUCCGGCAUUGGCAUCUAUCUUGUCAAUCUCACCGCGGUACUUAGCUUCUUUCCCUUGCUACAUUUAAAAUUGUUCUUUUCCCAAUUACUUUUUAAAUGAAAUUUGAUGUGUGAAUGUAAUAGUAGUGUAUAUAAGAUCGAUCACAAAUGAGCAGAGGGAAGUUGUAGGAGUGGGGCCUAAAAGUUCUAAUGAGUCGGGAUACAAAUAGAACUUCACCCAGUCUUGUUUGCAUGCUUAAAAACUUCCCUUAGUCUUGUUUGUUUGUAUGUAUAAUCUAUGUAUGUAUUAAUUUCAGGGAUCAAUGAUGGCACCCCAUAUCAAUCCAACAGCAACCGAAUACGGAAUCGUGUUGAGGGGAAGUGGUACAAUCCAAAUUGUCUAUCCAAACGGAACCUUAGCCAUGAACUCAAAAGUAAGUGAAGGUGAUGUAUUCUGGGUACCAAGGUACUUCCCAUUCUGCCAAAUCUCAUCAAGAACAGGCCCAUUCGAGUU
RNAcentral lists this long non-coding RNA (4062 nucleotides) under Panax ginseng (ginseng). Its description in RNAcentral is "long non-coding RNA (PGIN_LNC004481)". The stretch from base 1097 to 1218 matches the Rfam family "MIR6135 microRNA precursor family". The record is from RNAcentral. Lineage: Eukaryota; Viridiplantae; Streptophyta; Magnoliopsida; Apiales; Araliaceae.